GGAUCCACCAAAAUAAAUAUCUAAUGAUUGAGCGUCGGACUCAUAAUCCGAGGGUUGAAGGUUCGAGUCCUUCCGGAUCCACCA
RNAcentral lists this transfer RNA (84 nucleotides) under Desulfobacteraceae bacterium 4572_88. RNAcentral's name for it is "tRNA-Met". It matches the Rfam family "tRNA", at positions 17 to 71 of the family's 71-position model. Rfam says of the family: Transfer RNA (tRNA) molecules are approximately 80 nucleotides in length. Lineage: Bacteria; Pseudomonadati; Thermodesulfobacteriota; Desulfobacteria; Desulfobacterales; Desulfobacteraceae. The record is from RNAcentral.